Molecule: transfer RNA, 75 nt
Filed under: Leifsonia xyli
Lineage: Bacteria; Bacillati; Actinomycetota; Actinomycetes; Micrococcales; Microbacteriaceae
Also listed under: 23 other names
Description: tRNA-Arg
Rfam family: tRNA
About the family: Transfer RNA (tRNA) molecules are approximately 80 nucleotides in length. Their secondary structure includes four short double-helical elements and three loops (D, anti-codon, and T loops).
Source: RNAcentral
GCCUCUGUAGCUCAAUGGAAGAGCAGUUCCGUCCUAAGGAAAGGGUUGGGGGUUCGAGUCCCUCCAGGGGCACCC